This 435-nucleotide ribosomal RNA is filed under the name uncultured bacterium. Its description in RNAcentral is "bacterial SSU rRNA". It matches the Rfam family "Bacterial small subunit ribosomal RNA", at positions 43 to 524 of the family's 1533-position model. The record is from RNAcentral.
CAGGCCUAACACAUGCAAGUCGAACGAUGCUUUCGGGCAUAGUGGCGCACGGGUGCGUAACGCGUGGGAAUCUGCCCCUUGGUCUGGGAUAACAGUUGGAAACGACUGCUAAUACCGGAUGAUAUCGCGAGAUCAAAGAUUUAUCGCCAGGGGAUGAGCCCGCGUCCGAUUAGCUAGUUGGUAAGGUAAAGGCUUACCAAGGCGACGAUCGGUAGCUGGUCUGAGAGGAUGAUCAGCCACACUGGGACUGAGACACGGCCCAGACUCCUACGGGAGGCAGCAGUGGGGAAUAUUGGACAAUGGGCGAAAGCCUGAUCCAGCAAUGCCGCGUGAGUGAUGAAGGCCUUAGGGUUGUAAAGCUCUUUUACCCGGGAUGAUAAUGACAGUACCGGGAGAAUAAGCUCCGGCUAACUCCGUGCCAGCAGCCGCGGUAAU